This 31-nucleotide non-coding RNA is filed under the name Rattus norvegicus (Norway rat). Lineage: Eukaryota; Metazoa; Chordata; Mammalia; Rodentia; Muridae. The record is from RNAcentral.
UUUAAAGGGAAUCACCAGCCUCUGUGGUUUU